Triticum aestivum (bread wheat) is the source of this 1639-nucleotide long non-coding RNA. RefSeq lists it as uncharacterized. The record is from RefSeq and is a predicted model, not a curated record. Lineage: Eukaryota; Viridiplantae; Streptophyta; Magnoliopsida; Poales; Poaceae. The transcript has 2 exons.
UUCUACAGCGUUUGGAGAAGGGGGAGUCUGUCAGUCAGACACAGAGGUCGAGCCGUGGAGCAGAUCUCGCGGCGGGGCUCCUCCCGGGGCUGGUACGUCCUGCCGGCCGCCGGCGACCUCCUCGUCGAUGAGUACGUGCAGCAGCCCGGAGAGGCGCCUGCAGCUGCAGGGGCCGCCAAAGGCUGGAUCUCGCAGAAUCGUGAGAAUCUUCACAUGCAUAGGUACUUGAGAAAGGGAGGGGAAUCAGAAUUGUUGUGGAGGAAAUGAAAAUAUCUUGUUAUUUGGCUGCUAACAUCCAUGUUCUUUUAGACUGAACAUUGCCAUGGGUGUUUCUCUACGCAGCGAAUAUAUUAGAUCAAGCAUCAUAUCAUGGACACCAUAAGACUUUUCUGUCUUGAUAAUGAUGUCUACAGGUUGGACCCUACUUUUGUUUAUGAGCUCAUUCAAGUAACUCUCCUAGCUCAAAUGGGUCAAUUUCAUGUUUACAUGAUAGAUGAUACACAAAUCUUCAGCCAUCCAUCUCCAUAUGAACUGGUCUUGCUUAAUUUUGUAGUCUUCUGGAUAUAUGCUUACAUAUAAUAAAUAAUGUGAAGGUAGAUCAUAGAACGACAACAUAAUCUUUAGUCUUGAACAAAUUAUGGUAGACUAGAGAUAGAACACUAUACGAACCAGACACAUACCGACGAUAUGGAAACUAGCAAAGAAAUAGUAAAAGAAGUUCCUGACUUGUAGAUUAUGUCAACGUGAUAAUCUGGAGUCAAGCUUCUUUUACUACUAAUUUUGAUCUACCUUGUCAUCGAUAGGAUUAGUUAUUAUAUCUAAGCAUGUGUUCAGAAGAUUAGGAGAUUAAGCAAGGUCACUUGAUAUGUAAAUGGAUGGCUGAAUGUUUUGUGUAUCAUGAAGAACAAGAGACUAGCCUAUUUGAGCUCGGUGGUAGAGUUACUCAAUGAGAUCAUAAAUAGAAGCAUGAUCGAUCAAUAGACAUCAAUGUUGAUGAAGGCAAUGAAAAAAAAUCUUAUGGUAUACAUGAUAUGAUGAUUGAUCCCAUAUGUUUUUGCCAAGUGAAGAAACCCACUUGCAUGGCACUGAGUGAAAACUGUCUAUCCAAAGGCAAGAUUUGAAUAUUAUCCAUCCGAAAGAGAAUGUCACAUAUGGUCGCCAUCAAAAGAAGCAACAAUGCCACAAGUGAGCUCUCUUGUAUAUCCAUGUGCUAUUGUUGAUUCAGUGCCGCGUAUGUUGAGUGAGCAUUUAUGUUCUACAUGUGUUAGGUUUAAAAUAUUGUGCUGAACACUUCCAUUCUUGCCAAUUGAGAUGGUGAGACUCAGGAACACUGCAUUUGCCAUGGUGUUUUGAUUUGUCUUGUGCAGCGACAUGAAAUUCUUAUUGUAAUUGUACCCACUAAUGACUGAAUACUGCUGUCACUUCGGUUAGAUUCAAGAAGCGCCAAGUUUCGGCGGCGCCUCCUGCACUUUGCUAAUGAUGAACUUCCCUCUCCAUUUCUUUCUUUUGUAAGGAAGAGUUAUGCACUUAUGAUGUAUGGCUGGCUGGUUAAUUUUCUGUCAAUUCAACAACCAGUUUGUAGGGCGGCCACUGCAAUUUGCUCGUAUGCACCAUUAGUUAUUAUAUAUGUACUGAUGUC